GGGGAUCAUUAUUUAUCUGGAGACUAUAAGGCUGUGCUGUCCAGUAUGGUAGUCACCAGCCUCAUGUGGCUGUUGAGAACUUGAAAUGUGGCUAGUCCGGAUCGAGAUGUGCUCUGAAUACAGACAAUAUGGAGGCCUCAGGCUCAGAGGAUGGCAGAGUCUUCAGAUGGAUGGAGGGAGCUGCAGUCACUGAACCACUGCAGGGAGAGAAGUACUCACAGACCAGGAACGCUCAACUUGGACUGUUAUGUGACAGAAAGGAGACAUGCAUACAAGGAGAAUGCCAGGUGAACGUGAAGACCAUCAUUUGCAAGCCAAGAGAGGCCUGGAGCAGAUCCUUCAGAGCCCUCAGAAGGGACCAACCCUGCUGGCACCUUGAUUUUGGACUUCCAGCCUCCAGAACUAAGAACUUGAUGUAUACCUCCUGACCUGUUCAUCUUGUAGCUGCCUCUUGACAGAUAUAAGAGGCCGCCCUGUAGAGGAGGAAGGAGGAAGUUGGCUGUGAUUGACCUUGCUAGGUCAUCUUCCUAAUCUUUGUCCUUUCCUGCACCCCAAAUGGAAGAUAAAAGGCAAUGCAAGAUCAGCAUCCUCAGAGACAUCGUUUUGUUUGGGUUUCAUGGAUUGCAAUUGCCAGAGAUGCUUAGGCUGCCUCUAGAGGGAAGAUGAUUGAUUGUUAACCUAUGUGGUCCAACCAAAUGUCUUAGGGGUUAUUGAUAAUUAAAAUGGACAAUAGCGAUUUUCCAUUUCUUCUGGCCUUGGGUGCUGGCAUGUGGAAGUGGUAUUGAUACUCAUGACCAAAUAGGCACUUAUCGAUUUCAGUUUUCAUAAGUUGCCUACCAAAUGCAAACUAGUAACCCAGACGUGGGAGACCUAAUAUUCCAUUGUUAAUCUUUAGGUCCAUAAUUUUUAUUUCCUCUACUUGCCUCUUCUUCCUUCCUCUGCAUAAUGAGUUGGGCUUAUAUAAUUGCACCCAUUUACUCACUCAUUCGUUCAAUCAAUUAUUUGUUCCUAUUUUAUGCCAAGUAAUGAACAGAAGGUGUUGGGGAUGCAAAACCCAACUAAUUGGAAUUUCUAUGUUACAGGAGCUUAUGCUUUAGUGAAAUUAUAGACAAAUUAUUAUACAGUUUUAAUCCAGAAUAGUAAGUGCUAUGGGAGCAUGCACAGAGGAAACAACCCAAUCUUAAGGAAUCAGGAAGGUUUGCAGAGGACUGACAGGAAAAGUGGGCAGGUGAAGAAGAUGGGCAGUGAGAGGAGGAGUGGAAGCACUUUUGCUAGGGAAAAACAUGAAUAAAAGGGAUAAUUUUCUGCUCUUACCCCUGGGUGAUCUUUGCGUGGUACUGUCCAUCACAGUUGGGAGAGACGGCUCCUCAGAGCUGCUCCACACUGUUCACAGAGGAUGCCAUUCCAAGGAAACUGGGGAAUAGGGAAAGUCUUUAGCUUAUUCCUCUUUGAGGUUUGUUUGAGAUGCAGUUUCUUCAAUAUUUUGAGUCUAUGAAAACAUGUUGUAUACUUAAAUAUAUACCACA
RNAcentral lists this long non-coding RNA (1526 nucleotides) under Homo sapiens (human). Its description in RNAcentral is "HSALNT0307455". Lineage: Eukaryota; Metazoa; Chordata; Mammalia; Primates; Hominidae. The record is from RNAcentral.